GAUGGGUCUUUAACGGCAGGAGCACGCCGCAACCUCCCUAGCGAGAUAAUGAAUUACUACGCUCGGAGUUGUAGCGAGCCCGCCACUUCCUUUCAGGGCCUACGGCAGCCGUAGGGCCCCAACACCAAGCAGGGCUUGAGGGUUGAAAUGACGCUCGAACAGGCAUGCCCGGUAGAGUACUACCGGGCGCAAUGUGCGUUCAAAGAUUCGAUGAUUCACUGAAUUCUGCAAUUCACAUUACUUAUCGCAUUUCGCUGCGUUCUUCAUCGAUGCCAGAACCAAGAGAUCCGUUGUUGAAAGUUUUAACUUAUUUGUUUUAUACUCAGAGAUGCCACUAUAAUACAGAGUUUCGUACCUCCGGCGGGCGCCCCGAACCUCCGGAGAGGCAGGGCUGCGGCGCCCCCGUUAAGGGGUGCCGCGCCGCCGAAGCAACUUGGACGAGUUCGCGAUGGUUUGAAGUAGCCUUUCGGCUUCUUGUAAUGAUCCCUCCGCAGG
This 495-nucleotide unclassified non-coding RNA is filed under the name Sordariomycetes sp. FBCC2328. RNAcentral describes it as "sequence contains 18S rRNA gene, ITS1, 5.8S rRNA gene, ITS2 and 28S rRNA gene". The record is from RNAcentral. Lineage: Eukaryota; Fungi; Ascomycota; Sordariomycetes.